RNAcentral lists this ribosomal RNA (497 nucleotides) under uncultured bacterium. RNAcentral describes it as "partial 16S ribosomal RNA". It matches the Rfam family "Bacterial small subunit ribosomal RNA", at positions 28 to 507 of the family's 1533-position model. The record is from RNAcentral.
GAUGAACGCUGGCGGCGUGCCUAAUACAUGCAAGUCGAGCGAACGGACGCGAAGCUUGCUUCUCUGAUGUUAGCGGCGGACGGGUGAGUAACACGUGGAUAACCUACCUAUAAGACUGGGAUAACUUCGGGAAACCGGAGCUAAUACCGGAUAAUAUUUUGAACCGCAUGGUUCAAAAGUGAAAGACGGUCUUGCUGUCACUUAUAGCUGCAUCCGAGCUGCAUUAGCUAGUUGGUACGGUAACGGCUUACCAAGGCAACGAUGCAUAGCCGACCUGAGAGGGUGAUCGGCCACACUGGAGCUGAGACACGGUCCAGACUCCUACGGGAGGCAGCAGUAGGGAAUCUUCCGCAAUAGGCGAAAGCCUGACGGAGCAACGCCGCGUGAGUGAUGAAGGUCUUCGGAUCGUAAAACUCUGUUAUUAGGGAAGAACAUAUGUGUAAGUAACUGUGCACAUCUUGACGGUACCUAAUCAGAAAGCCACGGCUAACUACGUG